Fundulus heteroclitus (mummichog) is the source of this 627-nucleotide long non-coding RNA. RefSeq lists it as uncharacterized. The record is from RefSeq and is a predicted model, not a curated record. The transcript is spliced from 3 exons. NCBI's taxonomy places the organism in Eukaryota, Metazoa, Chordata, Actinopteri, Cyprinodontiformes, Fundulidae.
AGAAUGAGUGAAAUCUCCCUCUUUUCAGCGUUUACGAUGAGAAGCACUCGGGCAAUUGGAUGUCCUGUGAUCGAUGUAGCCUCUUCUCUUAUCGUUAGGACUGCUCUUAACAGAUUAACUGCCCCCCUCCCAAACAUGCAGUCUUUUUCUCCUCCUUUCUCACUGCUCCUCCUUCUGGCUGUCACACACCCACAGUCUUUUUCAGAAGAUACAACAGGAGACUUGUCUCUCUGAUUUUCUUUUUCUUAAAUCUAUUUUUUUAAUGUCCACCUUUUCUGACACUCAUCUUGCGACGUUUAGGUAGAUUUGGUCUGGAUUUGUUUGAACUGAUUUGACCACCUGGCAGACGGACAGAAAUGAAGAAGACUAAACUUAAGUUGAAGUUCUGGUAGUAAGAUAGUAAAUGAAGAUGGAUCUGGUGAUUGCCUUUCUUCUGCUCUUUUGUGUUCAUCCAUCUGCAGGAGCAAGCCUCAUCACAGCAGACAUAUUUGAAGCGAGGGAAUUUUUGCCUGCCCUUGUUAUUUCCUUCUACCCUUUUUCCACUUCGCAUUUUUCUACUUCAUAUUAUUUUUUUCCACUUCGUCCAUCUGACCGCAGCCGUUAAUGUUAAAACAAUGACAGGGAGGG